Molecule: ribosomal RNA, 497 nt
Filed under: uncultured bacterium
Lineage: Bacteria
Description: partial 16S ribosomal RNA
Rfam family: Bacterial small subunit ribosomal RNA
Source: RNAcentral
GAUGAACGCUGGCGGCGUGCCUAAUACAUGCAAGUCGAGCGAACAGACGAGGAGCUUGCUCCUCUGACGUUAGCGGCGGACGGGUGAGUAACACGUGGAUAACUUACCUAUAAGACUGGGAUAACUUCGGGAAACCGGAGCUAAUACCGGAUAAUAUAUUGAACCGCAUGGUUCAAUAGUGAAAGACGGUUUUGCUGUCACUUAUAGAUGGAUCCGCGCCGCAUUAGCUAGUUGGUAAGGUAACGGCUUACCAAGGCAACGAUGCGUAGCCGACCUGAGAGGGUGAUCGGCCACACUGGAACUGAGACACGGUCCAGACUCCUACGGGAGGCAGCAGUAGGGAAUCUUCCGCAAUGGGCGAAAGCCUGACGGAGCAACGCCGCGUGAGUGAUGAAGGUCUUCGGGUCGUAAAACUCUGUUAUUAGGGAAGAACAAAUGUGUAAGUAACUAUGCACGUCUUGACGGUACCUAAUCAGAAAGCCACGGCUAACUACGUG